CAAAAUCAUGUUUACUCCUUGUUAAAGUUGUGGCACGCAGGCUAGCACAAUGACCUCCCCAAACCCGUAUGCACGCUCACUCUCUUGGGGGCACUGCUCUUCUCUUUCAAUGCCAUUAACAGCUCAACAGACCACAGGAACCUCACAUUCUGCUACGGAGAAUGAUACUUGGUCACAGUCAGGCUCCCUUGACAAUGACAUUUUCUCUGAGAGUUCUGCACAGCUGUGUCACUGUUAACUUUUAAUGAACAUCCUUCCUUCCUUUGAAAAGUUUCAGUGAAAUGAAACGGAUGUGCAAUUUCUGCUUUCGUCUCCACUUUGUGUGGGAUAAUAUACAGUAAUUCUGCAUGCUGAGGUAGUCUGUGACAUGCCUAAUCUGGGGCGUUUCAUAGCUAAUGAAAUAAUUUUGCCCACAGUUACACACAAAUGUAAAACAAGAUUUUUUUUUUUUCCUGAAAGCCCAGGCCCUAAAAGAUCUCAUAAUCUAUAAUACACCAAAAAGUAGAGAGACUCACUCCCAGCCUGAAUUUGGGCCCCACCGUUCAUUUCAGGGGAUUGCUGACUCAAUGGAACACUCCCGCAGGAGACGUGCCAAUAGCUUCUGGGACAAUGAGUGCACAGAGGCACCACAGUGUUAUUUUGGAGCAUUAUUCUUUCUUGGUUUCCACAAUAGCUGGGAUCUGAUAAUUUAGCAUUAAGCCUCUUUUCAACUAUAUGGAACUGUAAUAAGGUGAUUUAGCCAAUGUGCCUGUCCAUUGUCCCAAAGAUUCUGUGAUCUAUUAUGCGGUAAUGUGUCAAAAGAAA
This 804-nucleotide long non-coding RNA is filed under the name Lynx pardinus (Iberian lynx). The record is from RNAcentral. Lineage: Eukaryota; Metazoa; Chordata; Mammalia; Carnivora; Felidae.